This 2258-nucleotide long non-coding RNA is filed under the name Helianthus annuus (common sunflower). RNAcentral describes it as "hypothetical non coding rna". The record is from RNAcentral. Lineage: Eukaryota; Viridiplantae; Streptophyta; Magnoliopsida; Asterales; Asteraceae.
GUAAAAUUAACUUUGAUUCUUGAAAGAUUGGUCACUAAUAAGGAUGAUCGGCAAUAGUAUUAACCGUAAUGAUCUACAAAAAUAAAAAAAUAAACAUUAAGAUCGCCGGAAAGGGUUUUGAAAAAAAAAAACCAAAAUCAGAUCUAUAAACAUAUAAACAUUAGAUUUACCUAUGAUUCUUGAAAGAUUCUUCACUGAAAUGGAGGAUCGGCUACGGUAUUUUGAUGAUCGGAGUUAGGUAGAAGACAGAGAAGAGAGAGAGAAAGAAGACGAUUCCAGAAGAAGUUAACUCAAAUAAUUGUGUGAAAUCAUUUUAUAGGAUCCGAAUUCAUAAAGUGUUAUUCGCUUAACCCGGAAAACCGCCCCAUUCAAUUUCGGAUCCCGCGUUUGUUUUGUUAAUUGGGUUGUGUUUUGUGUAACUUGCUUUGUUUAUAGAGAAUUCCCUCCCAAAAUCAAAGUACACUAAACCAUUGGUUGCCACAUCAUCAAAUUGGCUUCACCAUUAAAGGACAAAUAGCCCAUAUCAUCUCAUUUAUUAAGACAUAUAGAUUUUUUUAUAACAUGUUUAUUUAUUAUCAAAAAUGUUUAGUUUUUAAUUGUAUAAAUAGAUAUAAUAGAUGAGGAAGGUUCAUCUGAGAAGAAAAAGAACAAAGUGUAAUUUUGUAAAAUAUUAAAUAGAUUUUUAACUUAUCUCAUUUAUUAUCAUCUUUGACUAAUUAAUUAGUCAUAAAGACUAUCAUUCUCCACACCAUCUUUUUUUGCCUACACACAUCAAAAAUUAUCCUACAUGUUUCGAAAUUUAUCCUACACGUUAAAAUUUAUCCGACACAACUCGUAAUUUAUCUUAUAUACCUCGUAAUUUAUCCUACACUUUAAAUUAUUUAUUAUUUUUCUUUAAAAAAUAUAUAUUUUGAAAAUAAGUUACAAAAAAUUUAAUGUAGUUAGCUAUUAAAAAUGAAGACUACAAAUUAUUGAUCUAUGUAGAUUUACCAAUGUACCCUUAUAGUAACAUUAAAUACCUAUAUUAAAUGAAGUAAAAUAAAACAUUCUUAUUGGUUGAAAUUUUUUCUUUUUUCUUCUUACAAAAAAUUUAUUCUCAUUUGAACUAGAUUACGUUUAUAUAUUACAUAGUUAAAAUAAACAUAGCUUAAUUUAUAUAAUUUAGGUUUCAAUAUAUAGAAAGUAAUUAACAAGCCCAAAACAUUAUUCAAUGUACUAAACUCAAUAGAUAAUAAUACUAAGGGCGGUGGGGGUGGAACGUUAAUGUUCCGUGAUGAUGCACCAUCACGCGUGGUGGGAAACAAAAGACCGCCGCCACCUAUGAUAUAUUACGCGUGUAUUAUUAACACGUUGUAUUAUUAAUGCGUGAAACUUCAAUGUAUCAAGCUCUGGACCCACUGCAUGUUUGACACGUGUUGACCAACUUCACCAAUUUAGUUCUGCAUGAUGAAAAGUGAAAUGAAAUGAGGAAGAUGGGGGUUUUUGUGAGAGUUAAUUUAAAAAAUAAAAAAAAAAGUUGUGAGUGAUGGAAUUCCAUCACUAGUGAUGACCACCGCCACUAAAAAGGCUUGUGAGUGAUAGAAUAGUGGUUGAUGACAUGGUGGAACUUGAUUGGAUGCUUGUGAGUGAUGGAAUUCUAUCACUAGUGACCACCCCCACUCCCCUAAAGCCCAAUACCUUUGAGUGGAUAAGAAACUAGGCUAAUUUAUGUUUAAUUAGUGUCAAAUCUUGUCAUUUUACAGGCCAACAAAGUAAUUUACACUUUAAAGUUAAAUUUUUGAAUUGAAAAUUAUUAAGUUAUUGUGGAUUGUAUCUAUACAAUUCAAAACAGUCCCUAAACAGUUGUAACUCAAUUAUUUUUAAAAGGGAAAUAAAUUAAAAAACAAAGAAAUAUAUGUAAAAAAAGGUUCCAAGUGUAAACUGCUAUAAAAGAAAAUGAUUAUUGUAAAAGAAAACUGCUAUUAAAUAAUGUAAAUGAAAUGAAGUUUUAACUUGGACCUUAAUCUCAACACACAUUUUACAAUACUAUUCUCUUUAGUUUUCUUUUGCGUAUACAUUAUUGUGAAUGAAAUUUGAAGAAAACAAACUAUAGUGCGUAAAAUAAAAAUAAAGGAAAAUAAACUAUUCCUUAUCAUGUUUUGUUUUCAUACUAGUUUUUGCCCCGCCCGCGUUGCAGGGCAAUAAGCCGAAUAUUUCUCUCUCAUAACAUGUAUGUCUGUGUUUCGGUUACUUGUACAUACUACUCAUAACACGAUCUC